This 1839-nucleotide ribosomal RNA is filed under the name Triticum aestivum (bread wheat). Its description in RNAcentral is "partial small subunit ribosomal RNA". The record is from RNAcentral. Lineage: Eukaryota; Viridiplantae; Streptophyta; Magnoliopsida; Poales; Poaceae.
AUGUCAGGAUCACUGAAUUCAAAUAUUGGUGGGGAUUCAACAGGAAGGCCAUUCACAUCAACCUUUUCUGGUCAGUCUGGAUCAUUUCCUAAUUUCCAUCACUCUGGCUUGCAUAAUAUCCACGGAAAUCUCAAUCUUGCAUCACUAUCGCCAAGGAAUGCUUCAUUGUCAGGUAUUCCAUCCCCAGGUGUUCAACAACCUGGGGGCAAUAUUUCUGGUAGCCGGUUUCCUUCAAAUAACCUUCCAGUGUCCAUGUCUCAGAUUUCUCAUGGCCAUUCUGGGAUCAGCAACAGAGGAGGUAUGAAUGUUGGGGGGAAUGCUGUAUUUAGUAGUAGCAUGAAUGCUAUUGGUGGUUCAGCACAAGGUUUAUCCUCAAGCAUGGCUAAUGUUGGUAAUCGAAAUUCUGCUCCUGGGUUGACAGCUUCUUCAGUUUUGGGGAACUUAGGCCCACGGAUAACAAAUUCUGCGGGCAAUAUAGUGGGUGGCAGCAGUAUUGGCAGAAGCAUAAGCUCAGCAGGAAUGUCCAUGCCUGGUAUUUCAUCCCGUAUCAAUUCUAGCGGCAACUCUGGAAGUGGGGCUCUUAAUAUCCCAUCCAAUCGACUGAGUGGUAUGCAUCAAGCGUCGCCACAGUUCAUGAACAUUCUUGGGAGUUCUUAUCCAACACCUGGAGGAACGCUAUCUCAGAACCAAGUUCAGGCAGGAAACAAUUCUUUUAGUUCUUCUGGAAUGCUACAUGACGGAAACUCUGGUGACAAUUCUCCGUUUGACAUAAAUGAUUUUCCCCAGUUAACUGGGCGUCCUAAUUCUGCUGGAGGUGGUCAAGGGCAAUAUGGGUCACUGCGAAAGCAAGGAGUAAGUGUAAAUGCCAUUGUGCAACAAAACCAGGAGUUCAGCAUUCAGAAUGAAGAUUUUCCAGCUUUACCAGGAUAUAAAGGCAAUUCGUCAGAUUAUGGUAUGGAUUUGCAUCACAAGGACCACCUUCAUGAGAAUGCAAAUAUUAUGCAGGCACAACAUUUUCCUAUGGGUAGAUCAUCUGGCUUUAAUUUGGGAGGUAGCUAUCCACCCCGCCAACAACAGCAGCAGAGCACUACUUCGGUUCAAAAUGGUCUUGAUAAUAUUGGGCUAAGGCCGAUAAAUUCUCCAAGUCCGUCUUCUAAUUCAGGGUCUUAUGAGCAACUCAUCCAGCAAUACCAUCAACCACAGACUCAGAAUUCACUUAGGUCGCAGACGUCUUCGGGCCAACAGCCAUCUAAGGAUCAGAGUCAAAAGUCUGCUCAGGGAAAAGAAACUGUGCCAGACCCAUAUAGUUUACUUGGAUUGUUGAACUUAAUAAAAUCAAAAGAGCCUGGACCAACAGCUCUUGCUUUAGGGCUUGAUUUAACUACACUAGGGCUGAAUUUGAACUCUCCAGAUUGUCUUUGGAAGACAUUUGGCUCUCCAUGGUCAAAUGAACCAGCUAAAGGAGAACCUGAUUAUCAGAUCCCUGCUUGUUAUUCUGCUGAGCAACCUCCACCACUGCAGCCAUUCAAUUUUCCAAAGUUUCACCCCUUGACACUAUUCUACAUCUUCUACAGUAUGCCGAAGGAUGUUGCUCAGUUAUAUGCCGCGAAUGAACUAUAUAACAAAGGGUGGUUUUACCAUAGAGAGUAUCGUGUGUGGCUCACACGAGCUUCAAAUGUGGCGCCUCUUGUGAAAACUCCACUGUAUGAACGAGGAUCCUACAUUUGUUUUGAUCCCAACCUGUGGGAUACAAUUCAGAAGGACAACUUUGUGCUCCAAUAUGAAUCUGUAGAGAAGAGACCUGUCCUCCCUUCCGCCAGCCAAAAUGUUAGAUUAUAA